This 59-nucleotide transfer RNA is filed under the name Pseudomonas savastanoi pv. glycinea str. race 4. RNAcentral describes it as "tRNA-Ile". It matches the Rfam family "tRNA", at positions 8 to 63 of the family's 71-position model. Rfam says of the family: Transfer RNA (tRNA) molecules are approximately 80 nucleotides in length. The record is from RNAcentral. Lineage: Bacteria; Pseudomonadati; Pseudomonadota; Gammaproteobacteria; Pseudomonadales; Pseudomonadaceae.
UAGCUCAGUUGGUUAGAGCACACCCCUGAUAAGGGUGAGGUCGGCAGUUCGAAUCUGCC